UACGUAGGGUCCGAGCGGUGUCCGGAAUUACUGGGCGUAAAGAGCUCGUAGGUGGUUUGUCGCGUUGUUCGUGAAAACUCACAGCUUAACUGUGGGCGUGCGGGCGAUACGGGCAGACUGGAGUACUGCAGGGGAGACUGGAAUUCCUGGUGUAGCGGUGGAAUGCGCAGAUAUCAGGAGGAACACCGGUGGCGAAGGCGGGUCUCUGGGCAGUAACUGACGCUGAGGAGCGAAAGCGUGGGGAGCGAACAGG
This 253-nucleotide ribosomal RNA is filed under the name uncultured bacterium. RNAcentral's name for it is "partial 16S ribosomal RNA". It matches the Rfam family "Bacterial small subunit ribosomal RNA", at positions 524 to 776 of the family's 1533-position model. The record is from RNAcentral.